RNAcentral lists this ribosomal RNA (2821 nucleotides) under human gut metagenome. Its description in RNAcentral is "bacterial LSU rRNA". It matches the Rfam family "Bacterial large subunit ribosomal RNA". The record is from RNAcentral.
CAAAGAGCGCAAGGGGAAUGCCUUGGCACUGGGAGCCGACGAAGGACGUAGCGAUCUACGAUAAGCCACGGUGAGCCGAAAGCAGGCAUCGACCCGUGGAUUUCCGAAUGGGGCAACCUGGCUGAAUAGAACUCAGUCAACAUACGGUGAAUAAAAUAGUCGUAUGUAGGGAACCGCCUGAACUGAAACAUCUAAGUAGGGCGAGGAAAAGAAAUCAACCGAGAUUCCGCAAGUAGUGGCGAGCGAACGCGGAAGAGGCCAAACCGAGAGUAGUAAUACUUUCGGGGUUCGGACAGCGGACGGUAUGCUGAAGGUUAGCAGAAGGACAUGGGACGGUCCACCAAAGAGAGUGAGAGUCUCGUAUGCGAAAACUGAAAGCAGCCAGCUGAAUCCAGAGUACCGCCGGACACGUGAAACCCGGUGGGAAUAUGGGGGGACCAUCCUCCAAGCCUAAAUACUACCCAGUGACCGAUAGCGUAUAGUACUGUGAAGGAAAGGUGAAAAGAACCCCGGGAGGGGAGUGAAAAGAACCUGAAACCUUGUGCUUACAAGCACACAAAGCACGUCAACGUGUGAUGUGGUACCUUUUGUAGAAUGGUCCGGCGAGUGAAUGUAACUGGCGAGGUUAAGUUCUUAAGGAACGGAGCCGAAGCGAAAGCAAGUCUGAAUAGGGCGUCUUAGUCAGUUGUAUUCGACCCGAAACCGGGUGACCUAUCCAUGUCCAGGAUGAAGUUAAGGUAAAACUUGAUGGAGGUCCGAACCCACGGUCGUUGAAAUGCCCGGGGAUGAGAUGUGGAUAGCGGAGAAAUUCCAAUCGAACCCGGAUAUAGCUGGUUCUCUCCGAAAUAGCUUUAGGGCUAGCCUCGACUGAACAUUACCGGAGGUAGAGCACUGAAUGGGCUAGGGGCCGAGAGGUUACUGAACCCUAUCAAACUUCAAAUGCCGGAAAAUGAUAGUCGGGAGUCAGACUGCGUGAGAUAAGUUUCGUAGUCGAAAGGGAAACAGCCCAGACCCACAGCUAAGGUCCCAAAGUACGGUUAAGUGGAAAAGGAUGUGGAGUUGCACAGACAACCAGGAUGUUGGCUUAGAAGCAGCCACUCAUUAAAAGAGUGCGUAAUAGCUCACUGGUCGAGUGACUCUGCGCCGAAAAUUUAACGGGGCUAAAUCGUACACCGAAGCUUGGGAUGUAUCUAUGAUACAUGGUAGGAGAGCGUUGAAUGCGGGGUGAAGUCAGAGCGAAAGCGCUGGUGGACUGCAUUGAAGUGAGAAUGCCGGAAUGAGUAGCGAGAUUUAUGUGAGAAUCAUAAAGGCCGAAAGACUAAGGUUUCAGAAGGAAGGUUCGUCCGCUUCUGGUUAGCCGGGAGCUAAGGUGAGGCCGAAAGGCGUAGCCGAUGCACAUACGGUGGAGAUUCCGUAGCCGUCGAAAUAUUUAAGCAAAGGGACACUUAUGAAGGACAUGACCCGGGCGAUGGUAGCCCCGGGCGUAAGGGACCGAAAACAAGUAGGGAAGCAUGUUUGGAUUAAGGCGAGAAAAGCUUUGUGUAUAUAUGAGACGUCCGUACCGCAAACCGACACAGGUAGUCAGGAAGAGGAUUCUAAGGCCAACGGGAGAAGGGUAGUUAAGGAACUCGGCAAAUUGACCCCGUAACUUCGGAAUAAGGGGUGCUCACGAGAGUGAGCCGCAGUGAAUAGGUCCAGGCGACUGUUUAUCAAAAACACAGCUCUCUGCUAAAUCGAAAGAUGACGUAUAGGGGGUGACACCUGCCCGGUGCUGGAAGGUUAAGAGGAGGAGUGCAAGCUCCGAAUUGAAGCCCCAGUAAACGGCGGCCGUAACUAUAACGGUCCUAAGGUAGCGAAAUUCCUUGUCGGGUAAGUUCCGACCCGCACGAAUGGUGUAACGAUCUGGACACUGUCUCAACUACCCACCCGGCGAAAUUGUAGUACCGGUGAAGAUGCCGGUUACCCGCGGCAAGACGGAAAGACCCCAUGGAGCUUUACUGUAACUUGAUAUUGGGUCUUGGUAUUCUAUGUACAGGAUAGGCGGGAGACUAUGAAACAUACACGCCAGUGUAUGCGGAGUCACCCUUGGGAUACCGCUCUUAGAGUACUGAGAUUCUAACCUGCGGCCGUGAAUCCGGUCGGGGGACAUUGUCAGGUGGGCAGUUUGACUGGGGCGGUCGCCUCCUAAAAGGUAACGGAGGCGCUCAAAGGUUAGCUCAGCACGGUCGGAAACCGUGCCUCUGAGUGCAAACGCAAAAGCUAGCCUAACUGCGAGGCUGACGGGCCGAGCAGUAACGAAAGUUGGAGUUAGUGAUCCGGCGGUAUGUGAAUGGAAAUGCCGUCGCUCAACGGAUAAAAGCUACCCUGGGGAUAACAGGCUGAUCUCCCCCAAGAGUCCACAUCGACGGGGAGGUUUGGCACCUCGAUGUCGGCUCAUCACAUCCUGGGGCUGAAUUCGGUCCCAAGGGUUCGGCUGUUCGCCGAUUAAAGUGGUACGCGAGCUGGGUUCAGAACGUCGUGAGACAGUUCGGUCCCUAUCUGUCGUGGGCGCAGGAUAUUUGAGGAGAGCUGUCCUUAGUACGAGAGGACCGGGAUGGACGCACCGCUGGUGCACCAGUUGUCAUGCCAAUGGCACGGCUGGGCAGCUAAGUGCGGACGGGAUAAACGCUGAAAGCAUCUAAGCGUGAAGCCCCCUCCAAGAUAAGAUAUCCCACAGCUUAAGCUGGUAAGACCCCUCAUGGACUAUGAGGUUGAUAGGCUGCAGGUGUAAGAGUAGUGAUACUUUCAGCUGGGCAGUACUAAUAGGUCGAGGGCUUGACCA